This 1518-nucleotide ribosomal RNA is filed under the name uncultured prokaryote. RNAcentral describes it as "partial 16S ribosomal RNA". It matches the Rfam family "Bacterial small subunit ribosomal RNA". The record is from RNAcentral.
GAGUUUGAUCCUGGCUCAGAACUAACGCUUGUGGUGUGUCUUAGUCAUGCGAGUCGAACGAGAAAGCUUCCUUCGGGAAGUGAGUACAGUGGCGAACGGGUGAGUAACACGUGGGUAAUCUGCCCUUGGGUUGGGAACAACAUCUCUAACGGGGUGUUAAUACCGAAUAACAAGGCGCGUUGUAGGAUGCGUCUUUAAAGGUGGCCUCUACUUGUAAGCUGCCGCCUGAGGAUGAGCCCGCGCCGUAUUAGCUUGUUGGUGGGGUAAUGGCCUACCAAGGCGACGAUGCGUAGCCGGCCUGAGAGGGUGAACGGCCACACUGGAACUGAGACAAGGUCCAGUCUCCUACGGGGGCCAGCAGUCUAGAAAUUUGCACAAUCGUCGAAAGGCGGAUGCAGCGACGCCACGUGGAGGAUGAAGCCUUUCGGGGUGUAAACUCCUGUCAGAUGGGAAGAAGGCGCGAGUGUUAAUACCAUUUGUUGCUUGACGGUACCUUCAGAGGAAGCUCCGGCUAACUGCGUGCCAGCAGCCGCGGUAAUACGUAGGGAGCGAGCGUUGUUCGGAUUUACUGGGCGUAAAGAGCACGUAGGCGGUUAUUUAAGCAAGAUGUGAAAGCCCUGGGCUCAACCUAGGAACUGCAUCCAAAACUGGAUAACUAGAGUGUAUAAGAGGUUAGCGGAAUUCCAGGUGUAGCAGUGAAAUGCGUAGAUAUCUGGAGGAACAUCAGUGGCGAAGGCGGCUAACUGGUAUAACACUGACGCUGAGGUACGAAAGCGUGGGGAGCGAACGGGAUUAGAUACCCCGGUAGUCCACGCCCUAAACGAUGAGAACUAGCUGUUGGUUGCGUAAAUCCCCCUCAGUGCCGCAGCUAACGCAUUAAGUACCCCACCUGGGGAGUACGAUCGCGAGGUUGAAACUCAAAGGAAUUGACGGGGGCCCGCACAAGCGGUGGAGCAUGUGGUUUAAUUCGAUGCAACGCGAAGAACCUUACCUGGACUUCUUGACAUGCAGGGGACAGUUGUAGAAAUACACCCUUCUUCGGACUCCUGUACAGGUGCUGCAUGGCUGUCGUCAGCUCGUGUCGUGAAAUGUUAGGUUAAGUCCUGCAACGAGCGCAACCCCUGUCUUUAGUUGCCAUCAGGUAAUGCUGGGGACUCUAGAGAGACUGCCGGUGACAAACCGGAGGAAGGUGGGGACGACGUCAAGUCAUCAUGGCUCUUACGUCCUGGGCUGCAAACGUGCUACAAUGGCUGGUACAAAGGGUUGCGAUGCCGCGAGGUGGAGCCAAUCCCAAAAAACCAGUCUCAGUUCGGAUUAGAGUCUGCAACUCGACUCUAUGAAGGUGGAAUUGCUAGUAAUCGCGGAUCAGCAUGCCGCGGUGAAUACGUUCCCGGGCCUUGUACACACCGCCCGUCAAGUCAGGAAAGCCGGAUAUGGCUGAAGUCGCGAUCCCAACCGCAAGGAGGGAAGCGCCGAAGCUAGAGUUGGCGAUUCGAGCUAAGUCGUAACAAGGUAACC